RNAcentral lists this ribosomal RNA (435 nucleotides) under uncultured bacterium. RNAcentral describes it as "partial 16S ribosomal RNA". It matches the Rfam family "Bacterial small subunit ribosomal RNA", at positions 29 to 507 of the family's 1533-position model. The record is from RNAcentral.
AGCGAACGCUGGCGGCAGGCUUAACACAUGCAAGUCGAACGGGCAUCUUCGGAUGUCAGUGGCAGACGGGUGAGUAACACGUGGGAACGUACCCUUCGGUUCGGAAUAACUCAGGGAAACUUGAGCUAAUACCGGAUACGCCCUUUUGGGGAAAGGUUUACUGCCGAAGGAUCGGCCCGCGUCUGAUUAGCUUGUUGGUGGGGUAACGGCCUACCAAGGCGACGAUCAGUAGCUGGUCUGAGAAGAUGAUCAGCCACACUGGGACUGAGACACGGCCCAGACUCCUACGGGAGGCAGCAGUGGGGAAUAUUGGACAAUGGGCGCAAGCCUGAUCCAGCCAUGCCGCGUGAGUGAUGAAGGCCUUAGGGUUGUAAAGCUCUUUUGUCCGGGACGAUAAUGACGGUACCGGAAGAAUAAGCCCCGGCUAACUUCGUG